RNAcentral lists this ribosomal RNA (253 nucleotides) under uncultured bacterium. RNAcentral describes it as "partial 16S ribosomal RNA". It matches the Rfam family "Bacterial small subunit ribosomal RNA", at positions 524 to 776 of the family's 1533-position model. The record is from RNAcentral.
UACGUAGGGUGCAGGCGUUAAUCGGAAUUACUGGGCGUAAAGCGUGCGCAGGCGGUUUCUUUAGGCAGAUGUGAAAGCCCCGGGCUUAACCUGGGAACUGCGUUUGAAACUGGGAGACUUGAGUGUGGCAGAGGGGGGUGGAAUUCCACGUGUAGCAGUGAAAUGCGUAGAUAUGUGGAGGAACACCGAUGGCGAAGGCAGCCCCCUGGGUUAACACUGACGCUCAUGCACGAAAGCGUGGGGAGCAAACAGG